GACAGAGGGUGCAAACGUUGUUCGGAUUUACUGGGCGUAAAGCGUGUGUAGGCGGCUUUGCAAGUCGGAUGUGAAAUCCCACGGCUCAACCGUGGAAGUGCAUCCGAAACGGCAUCGCUUGAGUCUCGGAGAGGAAGGUGGAAUGCUUGGUGUAGAGGUGAAAUUCGUAGAUAUUCGCAAGAACACCAGUGGCGAAGGCGGCUCACUGGCCCGAUACUGACGCUGAGGUGCGAAAGCGUGGGGAGCAAACAGG
Molecule: ribosomal RNA, 253 nt
Filed under: uncultured bacterium
Lineage: Bacteria
Description: partial 16S ribosomal RNA
Rfam family: Bacterial small subunit ribosomal RNA
Source: RNAcentral